GGGGCUAUGGCGCAGCUGGUAGCGCGUCUGCAUGGCAUGCAGAAGGUCACGGGUUCGAGUCCCGUUAGCUCCACCA
Molecule: transfer RNA, 76 nt
Filed under: Streptosporangiales bacterium
Lineage: Bacteria; Bacillati; Actinomycetota; Actinomycetes; Streptosporangiales
Also listed under: 1 other name
Description: tRNA-Ala
Rfam family: tRNA
About the family: Transfer RNA (tRNA) molecules are approximately 80 nucleotides in length.
Source: RNAcentral